RNAcentral lists this small nucleolar RNA (132 nucleotides) under Pelodiscus sinensis (Chinese soft-shelled turtle). RNAcentral describes it as "Small nucleolar RNA SNORA20 (ENSPSIG00000019408.1)". The record is from RNAcentral. Lineage: Eukaryota; Metazoa; Chordata; Testudines; Trionychidae.
CUUCCCAUUUAUUUACUGCCAUGCAGCCUCAGUGCUAUGAGCAGUUAUACGCGUGGGAUAGAGUAUGAGGCCAUUGUAAGUUUGUGGUGAAACAACUGAUGUUUCACUGUUUAUUGCUAGGGCUGGACAUCU